RNAcentral lists this ribosomal RNA (394 nucleotides) under uncultured bacterium. RNAcentral describes it as "partial 16S ribosomal RNA". It matches the Rfam family "Bacterial small subunit ribosomal RNA", at positions 523 to 918 of the family's 1533-position model. The record is from RNAcentral.
AUACGGAGGAUGCAAGCGUUAUCCGGAUUUAUUGGGUUUAAAGGGUGCGUAGGCGGGUGAAUAAGCGUGAGGUGAAAUGCCCUGGCUCAACCAGGGAACUGCCUCGCGAACUGUUCGUCUUGAAUGCUCCUGCCGUGGGAGGAAUGGGUAGUGUAGCGGUGAAAUGCAUAGAUAUUACCCAGAACACCGAUUGCGAAGGCAUCUCACGAAGGGGCAAUUGACGCUGAGGCACGAAAGCGUGGGGAGCGAACAGGAUUAGAUACCCUGGUAGUCCACGCAGUAAACGAUGAUGACUAACCGCCGGCGAUAUAGUGAUCGGUGGCCAAGCGAAAGCGAUAAGUCACCCACCUGGGGAGUACGACCGCAAGGUUGAAACUCAAAGGAAUUGACGGGG